This 482-nucleotide ribosomal RNA is filed under the name uncultured bacterium. RNAcentral describes it as "partial 16S ribosomal RNA". It matches the Rfam family "Bacterial small subunit ribosomal RNA", at positions 38 to 507 of the family's 1533-position model. The record is from RNAcentral.
GGGGGGGGGGGGGGGCGGGGCGUGCACAUGCGAGGCGAGGGGUGACGGGGCGUGGGGUGCGGACGGGGGGCGGAGGGGGGAGGAAUACGUCGGAACGUGCCCGAUCGUGGGGGGUAACGGGGCGAAAGCUUUGCUAAUACCGCAUACGAGCUACGGAGGAAGGCGGGGGAUCUUCGGACCUCGCGCGGACGGGGCGGCCGAUGGGAGAUUAGGUAGUUGGUGGGAUAAAAGCUUACCAAGCCGACGAUCUGUAGCUGGUCUGAGAGGAUGAUCAGCCACACUGGGACUGAGACACGGCCCAGACUCCUACGGGAGGCAGCAGUGGGGAAUUUUGGACAAUGGGCGAAAGCCUGAUCCAGCCAUGCCGCGUGCAGGAUGAAGGCCUUCGGGUUGUAAACUGCUUUUGUACGGAACGAAAAGCCUCUUUCUAAUAAAGAGGGGUCAUGACGGUACCGUAAGAAUAAGCACCGGCUAACUACGUG